UAUAUAAAAUUAUACUUUAUGAUUUAAGUUAUAAAAAGAAAUUAAAUCUUUUUAAAGAUUAAAUCAUUUUUAUUUAUCAUUUAGUUUAUUAAUUGGAGAUAAGGACAAGCAAAAUCAGUUAUAGAAUUAGGAAAUGAAUUUAGAGCAAAAACUCGCGUUCGUUUCACCGCGCUCCUCUAUUUUACACAGAGUACGACUCACUGGAUAUAGCGCUAUAAAGCGUCCAAAGCGUCGUAUGGAACAGAGUGAGAGAGUGAGCGCAGCAGAGCCAAAGACCCAUCUGAUUCAUCGAUCGAUUCUUGAGGAGAUGAUGUUUCUUCGUCAUUUUGCUAUUUUUAUAUUCAAAAGAGAAGACAUAAAUAUAUAUCAUCAAAUAAAUAAUAUCAUAUCGAAGUAUAUAC
This is a long non-coding RNA of Gordionus sp. m RMFG-2023, 401 nucleotides long. RefSeq lists it as uncharacterized. The transcript is spliced from 4 exons. Lineage: Eukaryota; Metazoa; Nematomorpha; Gordioida; Chordodea; Parachordodidae. The record is from RefSeq and is a predicted model, not a curated record.